GGUCCUGUAGUUCAACGGAUAGAAUAGACGUUUCCUAAACGUUAGAUCCAAGUUCGAUUCUUGGCAAGACCA
Molecule: transfer RNA, 72 nt
Filed under: Saprospiraceae bacterium
Lineage: Bacteria; Pseudomonadati; Bacteroidota; Saprospiria; Saprospirales; Saprospiraceae
Description: tRNA-Arg
Rfam family: tRNA
About the family: Transfer RNA (tRNA) molecules are approximately 80 nucleotides in length. Their secondary structure includes four short double-helical elements and three loops (D, anti-codon, and T loops).
Source: RNAcentral